RNAcentral lists this long non-coding RNA (1210 nucleotides) under Vulpes vulpes (red fox). Its description in RNAcentral is "lncRNA (ENSVVUG00000015299.1)". Lineage: Eukaryota; Metazoa; Chordata; Mammalia; Carnivora; Canidae. The record is from RNAcentral.
UUUAUUUUCCCAAAGAUCCUACAACUCUUGAUAGCAGAUCUGUGUCUCAUACUUCUCUUCCUCAGCAAAUGCCUUAAUUAAUUAGCAGUACCUAUUAAGCCCUACAAUGAUUGUUUUUCAGAAGUUUUAAACACUUUUUCCCCUUGAGGAGUGGAAUGAAACAGGGUAGGCAGUGUCCUAUAAUGGAAAAGAUGACUUGAGACAUCGCAGACCUGGGUUUUAACUCUGGUUCUGCUCUUCACCUCUUGCAUGGCAAGUUGUAUAGUUACCGGAUUGUCUGUUUUCUCAUUUGUAAAAUGGCAUGAUAGUGUUACCUUGCAAAAUUAUUAUGAUAAUGGUAUUAUCUUGCAGAAUAAAAUAUCUGGCUCAGGACCUGAAAUGUGUCCUUAGGAAAUGUUAGCUCUUUCAUAAUUACUAUGUGUCAUAAUUGGUUGCCAUAGAAUUUUUUAUGACAUCACUUUUGUAGGGACAAUGUCAGGAUAGGUUCUGUUAAAGUGAAUUAUUUCUCUGUACUUAUGUUUUAUGUCAUGGUUAGUGAGGAGUAUUGGUGAGACUGGCAGAAGGUAGGCAGCCAAGCUGGUGAGUGGAAGGCAUCCAGUAGAGGCUGCAUGGAGUCUUAUUAGGUCUUACCAGAGGGGCUGGAAGAGAAGUGAGACCAAUAAUUUGGAGCAGAGACCCUUGACGUACAAUCGUGAUGAAUGGGGAAAGUCUUCUGGAUUUGGUUAUUAAAAGGAAUCAUAUCUACUGUGUGAGGAAAGCUGCCUGUGGCACUGAUCUAAAUGAUAAAUGGAGAGAAGUCAAAAGAGACAAGGAAAGGAAUAUGCAGAAGCAAGAGGAUGUUUGGGAAAAGACUGUAAGUCAUUCUUCCACUUGGUUUUGGAAGGGUAACUUACAUGGCUGCCACCAGAAGCUGAUUGUAAAAGCUACAGACAUCACAGCUUUUGUGCCUACUAUUUUUUGCCCCUAUAUCAUAUUGUCCUAUUCCUUACAUCCUAUCGCUCACAGGAAUUUGUUGAACACUAGUUCUUAGCUGGAGAGCUAGAAGUACAAGAUGUGAAUGUGGAGCUCCCUGGCCUGGCCCUAAUGAAGCUUGCUAUCUAAAGAAAAUAUAGUUGACCUUUGAAUAAUAUGGGAUUGAGUGGUAUGGGGCCAUUUACAUGUGGAUUUUUUUUGCAAUAAAAACAAUACCAUAAAUGAUUUUUUCUUCUUU